AUACAGACGGAGCGUCAAGAGGCAAUCCCGGAUUAGCGGCGGCAGGAGGGGUCUUACAGGAGAGCAAUGGGGAAUGGCGCAGAGGGUUUGCAAUUAAUAUCGGGAUAUGCUCAACACCUCUUGCUGAGUUAUGGGGUGUAUACUACGGGUUAUUCAUGGCCUGGGAGUGUAAAGUAUCCCGAUUAGAGUUAGAGGUGGACUCGGAGGUUGUUGUUGGGUUUCUUCGGACAGGGAUAAGUGAAUCUCACCCGCUGUCCUUCCUAAUACGCAUGUGCUAUGGCUUUAUAUCAAAGGACUAGAUAGUCCGGAUUUCUCACAAGUAUAGGGAAACUAAUAGUCUAGCGGAUGAGUUAGCGAACUAUGCAUUUUCUUUACCUCUUGGUUUUCAGUUUUUUUAUGUUUGUCCGGAUGCUGUUUAUUCGGUUAUGUUGGAAGACCGGAACGGAAUGUCGUUUCCGCGUCAUGUUCGUUUGUAAUUUCUUUUAGUUUGAAUAAAAAAUAGGGGACAUUGUUCCCUAUCACUCACCAAAAAAA
RNAcentral lists this small RNA (534 nucleotides) under Arabidopsis thaliana (thale cress). RNAcentral describes it as "ATSL244220". The record is from RNAcentral. Lineage: Eukaryota; Viridiplantae; Streptophyta; Magnoliopsida; Brassicales; Brassicaceae.